GAUCAUGGCUCAGGACGAACGCUGGCGGCGUGCUUAACACAUGCAAGUCGAACGAGAAUCUAUUGAAGGAGUUUUUCGGACAACGGAUAUAGAGGACAGUGGCGGACGGGUGAGUAACGCGUGAGGAACCUGCCUUUCAGAGGGGGACAACAGUUGGAAACGACUGCUAAUACCGCAUAACAUAUAGAUGUCGCAUGGCAUUUAUAUCAAAGAUUUAUCG
Molecule: ribosomal RNA, 220 nt
Filed under: uncultured bacterium
Lineage: Bacteria
Description: partial 16S ribosomal RNA
Rfam family: Bacterial small subunit ribosomal RNA
Source: RNAcentral